This 61-nucleotide non-coding RNA is filed under the name Lactobacillus acetotolerans. Its description in RNAcentral is "Na+-I sequence". It matches the Rfam family "Na+ riboswitch aptamer (DUF1646)". From Rfam's summary of the family: Proteobacteria, NC10, Acidobacteria, Verrucomicrobia. Lineage (Clostridia) The riboswitch of Na+ was first reported in a comparative analysis of intergenic regions and called DUF1646 RNA, it was also suggested that it acts as cis-reg RNA present upstream of Na+ genes. Afterward it was reported as a riboswitch that selectively senses Na+. Lineage: Bacteria; Bacillati; Bacillota; Bacilli; Lactobacillales; Lactobacillaceae. The record is from Rfam by way of RNAcentral.
GGUUGGGGUUUUAUUAAAAUAAAUAAAAGCUUUCAAGAUUAGCUUCUUUGGGUCAAGGAGC